GGUGAUGUAACUCAAAUGGACAGAGUGCGGCACUGUCGAUGCCGAAGCUGAGGGUUCGAGUCCCUUCAUCACCG
RNAcentral lists this transfer RNA (74 nucleotides) under Planctomycetota bacterium. RNAcentral describes it as "Planctomycetes bacterium tRNA-Asp". It matches the Rfam family "tRNA". Rfam says of the family: Transfer RNA (tRNA) molecules are approximately 80 nucleotides in length. The record is from RNAcentral. RNAcentral also lists the same sequence under 1 other name. Lineage: Bacteria; Pseudomonadati; Planctomycetota.